GAGGAGCUUGCUCUUCUUGAAUGAGUUGCGAACGGGUGAGUAACGCGUAGGUAACCUGCCUUGUAGCGGGGGAUAACUAUUGGAAACGAUAGCUAAUACCGCAUAACAAUGGGUGACACAUGUCAUUUAUUUGAAAGGGGCAAUUGCUCCACUACAAGAUGGACCUGCGUUGUAUUAGCUAGUAGGUGAGGUAACGGCUCACCUAGGCGACGAUACAUAGCCGACCUGAGAGGGUGAUCGGCCACACUGGGACUGAGACACGGCCCAGACUCCUACGGGAGGCAGCAGUAGGGAAUCUUCGGCAAUGGGGGCAACCCUGACCGAGCAACGCCGCGUGAGUGAAGAAGGUUUUCGGAUCGUAAAGCUCUGUUGUAAGUCAAGAACGAGUGUGAGAGUGGAAAGUUCACACUGUGACGGUAGCUUACCAGAAAGGGACGGCUAACUACGUGCCAGCAGCCGCGGUAAUACGUAGGUCCCGAGCGUUGUCCGGAUUUAUUGGGCGUAAAGCGAGCGCAGGCGGUUUGAUAAGUCUGAAGUUAAAGGCUGUGGCUCAACCAUAGUUCGCUUUGGAAACUGUCAAACUUGAGUGCAGAAGGGGAGAGUGGAAUUCCAUGUGUAGCGGUGAAAUGCGUAGAUAUAUGGAGGAACACCGGUGG
Molecule: ribosomal RNA, 656 nt
Filed under: uncultured Bacilli bacterium
Lineage: Bacteria; Bacillati; Bacillota; Bacilli
Description: bacterial SSU rRNA
Rfam family: Bacterial small subunit ribosomal RNA
Source: RNAcentral